RNAcentral lists this ribosomal RNA (511 nucleotides) under uncultured bacterium. RNAcentral describes it as "bacterial SSU rRNA". It matches the Rfam family "Bacterial small subunit ribosomal RNA", at positions 10 to 518 of the family's 1533-position model. The record is from RNAcentral.
AGUUGAUCAUGGCUCAGGAUGAACGCUAGCGACAGGCCUAACACAUGCAAGUCGAGGGGCAGCAUGGCGUAGCAAUACGUUGAUGGCGACCGGCGCACGGGUGCGUAACAGGUGUGCAAUCUGUCCUAUACCGGGAAUAGCCCAGCGAAAGUUGAAUUAACGCUCCAUGUGUCACGAAGCCGCAUGACUUUGUGAUGAAACGUAAGGGUAUAGGAUGAGCACGCUUCUGAUUAGGUAGUUGGUGAGGUAACGGCCCACCAAGCCGACGAUCAGUAGGGGUUCUGAGAGGAAGGUCCCCCACAUUGGAACUGAGACACGGUCCAAACUCCUACGGGAGGCAGCAGUGAGGAAUAUUGGUCAAUGGACGUAAGUCUGAACCAGCCAAGUCGCGUAGAAGGAAGACGGUUCUAUGGAUUGUAAACUUCUUUUGUCCGAGGGUAAAGUCAAGCACGUGUGCUUGUUGGAAAGUAUCGGACGAAUAAGCAUCGGCUAACUCCGUGCCAGCCGCAGC